CCGCCGGGAAGGGGCGCUAUAAAAGCCCGGGUGCUAUUUACGCCGUACAGGGCGGGCGGUGGUGGUGGGUAGCGUGUCGGGAGUCGCGUCGCUGAUCCUCUGAGGGGGCCCGGAGCCCCAACCCUCUUCCUCCGCUGUUAUUGGGCCGCUGGAGGAUGGAGGAGUUCGGCCGCCCCGAGGGUGGCUCUGUGACAGCUGCUGCUGGGCCAGGCAGGGGUGCCGUGGCCUCCGUAGGAAGCUUGGGCGGGUAGGGGCGCUCUGCUCCCCUUGGGGUCUCACCGUGCGACGUGAAGCGAGCGAUGGAUCCGUGCCCCCUUUGUGUUCGGGGGGAGGCUGCUCUCAGUCCUGCUCUGUCCGUCCGGGCUUCUUCAGCUGGGCGAGGUCCCGCUGAGGGGACCCAUGCCCCAGCUGGCAGGCGGGUGGGGGCGGCUGGUGGCAGCCAUCAGCCCCCGACACCUCCGAGCUCCCCGCGUUGGUGGCAGGGCGGUCUCCUGCUGGCGUUUGGGGAGAGCGUCCUGCAUCCAGGCUCCCCCAAGGGCACGUGGGUGCUGUGAUCCUCUUACUUUGUGCCUAAUUCUCAUUCCUUCUUCCUCUGGCUGAGUUUCCCCUGUCAGCUAACUUUGACUGGCCUUUCUGUGGACCGCUGCCUGGUGUCUGUCGGUGAAGGAACUGCUCGAACCUCCUCCAAUAGAAACAUUUGAAAGAGCUCUAAUGAGCUAUACCGUGAGAAAGUGCACCCUGCAAAAGCCACAUCCCUGAAGGACCAGAGCAGGGUGCCUGGCAUGUGCUGGGACAUCAGGAAGGGAAAGGGCAUGCUGACCAUGCCCUGCUGCUGGCUGUGUGGCUCGCACAAAUUAAACGGUACAACUCAUCGGCAGCCUUCCUGCGCCAGCCAGCAGCAGUGGUACAAAGCAUGGCUUAAUUAUAACCCUGAAAGAAAAAGGAUUUCUUUAUGAGAUGUUGCUCCAUGGCUGCUGGUGGCAGAGCUCCACACGAGCCGAGUCGUGCUGGUUUGGCAGGUAGGUGUGGUGGUGAUGUGCGCGCGUGGCUGGGCAGUGGGGCUCUGAGUCAGAAGCUCCUGGUGACGUUGCUAAAUUCAGUUUACCACAGAGGUCUUUUUCUACUUUACACUGGAGCUGCUUUGAUGCAGCCUUUCUACAUUCAGAAAUAUGGCUCAGACCCAGUGCUUGUGAGUCACAGGUAUUCAUUUGUUAGGCCUUGGCAAAAGGCAAGUAAGAAAAAGUGCUGUCCAUGUUACGUGUCUGUGGUCUGGUUUCCACCAUGCCCAUCUUCUGGUAGCAGUUAGGUGACAACAAUUAAACAUCAAGGCAACCUGUCUUCCUAUCCAUGAUAUAGUGCUUUAUUUCUCCCCCUGUGGGGAUAGUCUGGAUGUCAGGUGACUUCUAGCUACGUAACCUGGGCCCCAGAAGGCAAAGGCAGGGACUGAGAGAAUGAAGAACUGCCCACCGUAGGAGAAGACCAGGUCUGAGACCAUCUAAGGAACCUGAAAGUGCACAGGUCCAUGGGACCCGAUGAGACGCAUCUGCAAGUCCUGAGGGAACUGGCGGAUGUAGUUGCUAAGCCUCUCUCCGUCACAUUUAAGAAGCUGUGGCAGUCCGGUGAAGUUCCCAGUGACUGGAAGAAGGGAAACAAUCCCCAUUUUAAAAAGGGAGAAAAGGAAGACCCAGGGAACUACAGGCCAGUCAGUCUCACCUCUGUGCCCGGCAAGAUCAUGGAGCAGAUCCUCCUGGAAACUCUGCUAAGGUCCAUGGAAAACAAGGAGGCGACUGGUUACAGCCAACAGGGCUUCACUAAGGGCAGAUCGUGCCUGAAAAAUCUGGUGGCCUUCUACCAUGGGGUUACGGCAUUCACAGAUAAGGGAAGAGCAGCUGAUGUGGCCGACCUGGUCUCGUAUGAAGCAUUUGACACUGUCCCCCAUGAUAUCCUUGUCUCUGAACUGGAGAGACGUGGAUUGGAUGGAUGGAUCAGUCAGUGGGUAAGGAGUUGGCUGGAUGGUUGCACUCAGAGUUGCGGUCAACGGCUCAAUGUCCAGGUGGAGAUCAGUAACAAGUGGUGUUCCUCAGGGGUCAGUACUGGGACCGGCACUGGUUAACAUCUUUGUCAGUGGCAUGGGCAGUGGGAUCAAGUGCAGCCUCAGCGAGUUUGCCAAUGACACCAAGCUGUGAGGUGUGGUCAGCACACUGGAGGGAAGGGAUGCCUUCCAGAGGGAUCUGGAUAGGCUCAAGAGGUGGGCCUGGGCGAAACUCAUGAGGUUCAGCAAGGCCAAGUGCAAGUUCCUGCACCUGGGCUGGGGCAGUGCCGAGCACAAACACAGGCUGGGAGACAAGAUAGAGAGCAGCAUGGAGAGAAGGACCUGGGGGUGCUGGUUGAUGAGAAGCUCAACAUGAGCCAGCAAGGUACGCUUGCAGCCCAGAAAGCCAGCCUUAUCCUGGGCUGCACCAAAAUCACCAUGGCCAGCAGGGCGAGGAAGGGGAUUGUCCCCCUCUGCUCUUGUGAGACCCCACCUGGAGCCCUGCACUCAGCUCUGGGGCCCCCAGCAUAAGAAGGACAGGGAUGUAUUAGAGCGAGUCCAGAGGAGAGCCACAAGGAUUAUCAGAGGGCUGGAGCACCUCUCCUAUGAAUAAAGGCUGAGAGAGCUGGGGCUGUUCAGCCUGGAGAAUGGAAAGCCCUGGCGAGACCUGACAGUGGCCUUCCAGUGCCUAAAGGGGGCUACAGGAAAGCUGGGGAGGCACUCUUUGUCAGGGAGUGUAGUGACAGGAUAAGGGGUAAUGGCUUCCAACUAAAAGAGGGGAGAUUUAGAUGAGACAUUAGAAAUACCUUCUUUACUGUGAAGGUGGUGAGGCACUGGCAUGGGCUGCCCAGAGGAGCUGUGGCUGCCCCAUCCCUGGCAGUGCCCAAAGCCAGGCUGGAUGGGGCUGGGGGCAGCCUGGGCUGGUGGGAGGGGUCCCUCCCUGCCCAUGGUCCCUUCCAACCCAAGCCAUUCUACGACUUCAUCUGAAAUCCUAGUGAGACCCUGAACAGAAAAUCUGGGAGCACGCGCUGUCUUUGUUGUGGUUCUGAUUCUGGUUUGUUGCUUUGCACCCUAUGAAGACAGAUUAUUACUUGGCUAAGGCUAAGUGAGGAAGUAAUACCAAAUGCCAUAUGAACCAAUCUCUUUUCUCAGCUCCUCUCAGUGUUCCAAGUCCUGUUCAACUUUCCCCAGGGUACUGGUUCCAGAAAUCAGCAGUCUUGCCUUCACCUUUGUAGGUGCACCAGCACCAGGUUCUGAGGUGGUUUGAGUUAAUGAUAAAUCUUGUAUGCCUUGUACAGCAGUGACUGAUUCACAUCAGCUCACUUGAUCACUUAUUCCAGGGAAAUACCACUUCAAUUUGCCAGCACUCUGUCCCUGACACAAUAAAAUGCUUGUGAAUUCAAAGCUUUUGGAACUCAGAAUGGAAUUUUCCUCUAAAAUUGUGCACAUUGAAAUAUGGGAAUCAUACAGAGAGAAUUGCUAGACUAUUCGAUAUGAGAAGAGUUUAAAAUUAGUCACUCAGACCAAACAGAAAACUUUACUUCGGGCAACUCAGUUCAGACUAAUGUGUAGUUGCAUAAAAAGUUCCCAGAGAAAAAUCAAGGCAUAAAUUUGGCAUUUUAUCACUCAAUUCCAUGCUGAGUUUCCUAGAAGAAUAUUUUAGUUUCAGUAACUAAGAAGAGGACUGUAUCUAUCUAGAAAAAUACCUUUUUCAGUUAAAGACUUAAUGCAAUCCUUUUAUGUUCUGUUUUUUAAAAAAAUAUAUUUUUAUGGACAAGAAGCAGAAGAUGCAAGAGCAAAUACUGCAAAGACAUAAGACUUCCUCUCUUGUAUAGGGGGAGAAAAGGUUUUGUAGCUAAAUGGGAAAAAGCCUUGCUUCUAGCUUUCUGAGUUUUGGAACAAGUCUCUGUGGGAUGCGUGUCACUGGGCCUCCCCAGCCUCUGCACAGUGUUGCAUUUCUUCACAAAAAUAGGUCUGGUACUGAAGUAAAUGGAUAAAAAUGUGGGAGAAGUACUUGGGGCGGGGGGGUGCAAACUGGAUGCCACCCUUCUGGUGAAUGGCUCUUGGUUAACUGCUGCCACCAGGCACCUCUAUCAUUUCAGCAUGUAGCAAGCCUGUGUUCCAGGGUUGAAGACCCUGUGCAGUAAUACUCAGCAGUGUCCUCAAGGCUCACAUCGGUCAUUUGUAAGUACAGUGUCUCUAGAGUUGUCCCCAGAGGUGGACAGCCAUCCUUUCACAGCCACUGAGUAAUCUGCCAUCUCCCCUCCGACCUCCUGGAUGUGAGCACCUCUCUGCAGCCCCUGCCCAGGAGCAGCUCUGACCUGAGCAAGGCAGAGACCACCCAAAUUUAACUCUGAGAUUUUUCAGGAAAGCUUGAGAGAGUCCCUGGGGAUUUUCAGUUUUCUGUUCUAUGCCACAAAUUCAGUGUUAGACCGACCCCUGAGGGGCAGCAAGGACCAGUGAAAUCUCAGAAUGGCCUCAUAAAACUUCCAAAGUCUUGAGAAACUGUUUUACCUGUGAAUGCCGAGGCAAAGCACUGUGCAACUUUGAGCCAAAAUAAAACUAUUUGGAAAUUC
Molecule: long non-coding RNA, 4608 nt
Organism: Cygnus atratus (black swan)
Lineage: Eukaryota; Metazoa; Chordata; Aves; Anseriformes; Anatidae
Exons: 3
Source: RefSeq, a predicted model, not a curated record